This is a non-coding RNA of Podarcis lilfordi (Lilford's wall lizard), 74 nucleotides long. The record is from the annotation of a GenBank genome assembly. Lineage: Eukaryota; Metazoa; Chordata; Lepidosauria; Squamata; Lacertidae.
GAAAGCCUGUAGCUUGGUAGCAGAGCAUCUCCCUUGCAUGCAGAAGGCCCCAGGUUCAAUUCCUGCUGUCUCCA